Non-coding RNA from Gasterosteus aculeatus aculeatus (three-spined stickleback), 3138 nucleotides. NCBI's taxonomy places the organism in Eukaryota, Metazoa, Chordata, Actinopteri, Perciformes, Gasterosteidae. The record is from RefSeq and is a predicted model, not a curated record.
UGCUCUAAGUAGAGCAGUAUAAUGUGCUGUGACCUCAGUGAUAAUGAAAGAUUAUCAAAGCAAUUUCGGCCUCUCUAUUUUGCCACAUAUUAACCAUGACCCAAAGCGAACUUGCAGCUGGGAUGCGAUUCAGUUUACUUUGUUAUUAACGUGUUUUCUGUUUGGGAAUAUUUCCGUACCACCGCUAACAGGUAGCUUUUGGGGAGAUACUUACAUUUCACGACGUCAAAGUGGCUGUUUGGCUCCUGCGGGAUCGCGGCCUCUGUGGUAUGUGAUGUUUGUUUAUGACCAGUGGGACUUCUGAGGUUCUAUACAUUUAUGGCACCUUUAUCCUUUAAAAAGUAGCAUUUUGCACACAUACACACAAAUAAUGUAAGGGCCAACAAAAAAAACAAUAACAUGAAAAUAUGCUGAAAAUGCUGGCAUACUACCUUACAUCUUUCAUUUCAUUACCUGAUUUUGUUGCACACGUAAUAUGUUUGAGAAAUACAGUAUUUCAAUUAUUAUUUUUGAUUAAAAAAAAGAUUAUUCAAAAACAAAACACAAUAAAAAAACCUUAAUACCUGCAGCUUCUCCUUGGCUCGUGCGUGGCAGUGCAUUGUUGCCAAGCCGUCCUCACUUGCCCUACCUUACUCACAGGCGGCUCGGGGCCAGGACUGAUGACUGCUGGAAGGGAAACUCGCCUCCAUCUGGAACAUCACAGGCUGCCAGUAACAGGAACUCGCACACAAAAUGCGACAUCGUCUGCAAAGCCCAAGCCGCUCUGAGGGACAACUGUUAACCUAAAAGUGUCUUUACCAGUCCCAAGCGUCUACUGGAAAUGCAUCACUUCAUCUAAGAUAAAUCUGUGGGUAGUCUCAAGGCUGCAAGUGUAACCAGUCUGUCCUCAUCUGAACUUGGCGGAUGAAAACUACAAUUACACGGCUGAGGCCAGCCGUUGUGUAGACUCUCUCUCUCUCUCUCUCUCUCUCUCUCUCUGCUCGGCAUUAGUUUGCUUUGCUUCCAGCCUGCACACAGCAUGUGAACCAGCAAGAUCUGAGAGGAGACAGUGUCAAGUUGGACCCAUAUCAUGUCUGAAUAUGUGAGAGGAACGGCUGCAGACGCAGUGGAUUACAGUCAAUCAAGAGACACACAUGCAUAUAGAUCAAACACACUUGUUGUAUAAACAGUAGGCAAAGCUAUUCCACUUAUAUUGAAAAAUGUUAACGACUGGCAUGGAUGCAAAAAAUGGGCUUCAUUUCCGUGGCAACCAAGGCAAAGAAAAUACUGUAAUGCACGACAGCAUUAAAUCCCACUUUAUGUUUGCAUGACACGGGUAUAUUAUAUAGUCGUGAUACUCCUGAAUGACAUCCAAAAUGAGGAUGAUGAUGAUACUUACAAUCAGACAACUGUGCAACCCCACUGUAGUUCAAGAGACUACGGCCACUCAUCAGGGAAGGAUGUUGAUGCUUAACAUCUGUAGUUUAUUGCCUUCUCUGUGUAGUAAUUGAGAAACAAACUGAUUGGCCUACAGAUGUUAUUCAUAUACAACAUUAGAAGAUAAAGAGGUUGUUUUCUACAUCCUCUUGAUCAAAGAAAUUCUAUUUGUAUCCGAUUCAUUCAUCACAACUUCACACAUCAUUUAGUUGGCCAGACAAAAUUGGCCGGAUGUCGUGCAAACUAAUAAGAUCGGUUGAACAUGUUGUGUGUCAUUUCUGCAUUAGGAAAGAUUCUGGAGGUCCAACAUUGUGAACAACAGUAUUCAAAAAAUGUACUUUAGCAGUAUGUUCUAAAGUAUGUUGUUUUGGUUUUUAAAGGUAUCCAUUCAUUUUACACAUAAAUAGCCAAUGUGCAUGAGUCAAUAUAGCUGCUAUAGUAGACACAUUUAGGUCUGCACCUAUCAACAACUCAAUCAUGCAGAAUUUGGGAUUAGCAAUAGUAAACAUACAAUAGUAUACCUUUGGCCUAGUAGUGCCAAUGAAAUGGAGCUUGAAUGAUGCUCAGUUGAAGUUAGCUGUUAACUCCGUCUUUUAGCCAAACAGAAUCUUGUUUAUUACAAUUCUUUUUGCCUCGCGGUUGGUGUGGAGGGACUGUGGGGUCAAACAAAGCCUCUUUGCACCAACGACUUUUAGCAAUUGAGUACUUUACAAUUUUGGUGGAAUUGUUUCCACUGCCUAUAGCAAAAGCAGAAUAUUCAAAUAAGGUUGAUGUAAAACAAUGUAUAAAAGCAAUGUAGUUAAUUGCAUUAUAAACUAAUAACUGCAAUUUGUAGGAAUUAAACUUCUGAGUUUGCAUCUUUCCUUAUGGCUCUCUUAUUUUCCUUCCAGACGAGCUCCAACACAUUGGUUGGUACGUAGGUAGGUGUUUACUCCUUGAAAAAAAACUCUCACCUCCUCCACAAACACAUUAAAUAUGGAAUUGCAAAUUGAAAGUGGACUUGUGUUGACUGCUUAUGUAACCAGACUGUCGGGAUCUGAUGAUUUGCACAAAAGGUUUCUCAGUUCUGUGUAGGAGGCAGAGGGCAUCAACAACAGCUUUUGCCAGACUGAAACUCAUGUUUGGAGAAGUAUUUUUUUUCUGUUGUGUUGAAGAUAUACAACAUUAUCUUUAGUCUUAUACAACUUAUGAGACACUGGAUUAUUUGAGUAAAUCACUUUCCUCUUUUGGAAAAACUUAAUUCUUACUUGUCUGAAGCAACUUCUUCUAAAAAUGGAAAGAAAAAAACACGUGAUGAUGUACUGGCACAGCAAUUAAAUCAACAUUUUGGAGUUGAUGUGGACCCGUGUUUUAGUACUGUAUGUGACACCUUAUCCCUCAGACCUUUCUGCUAUCAGACAUAAUAACGUACGCCAGCUUUGCAAUUAACCAGUUUGUCAGAGGAAUAAGAAGGCACAAUUUAAAUAGAUCACUCACUUUGGCCCUGGGUUUUGUGUUUAAUUUAAAUGUUCUUUCAAACAGGCAGCAGGAUUUCACCAGUUACCAAUCAUGCACAAUGAGCAAAUGUCAGCAAUUUUUUUAUUAUGUGUCCAUUGAGGCUCGGGAUACUGUAUUUGUGCAUGUAUAUAUACAUCUUUACUCUCCUUCACCUUCAUCUGUAUAUUGUAAUUCACUGCCAGGCGUAGCCCUCAUUAAAUGUGUUUAAAGAGCCCCUUGAACACU